AUGACCAUAUCAUAUUGAAACACCAGUUCCAAUACAAUCACUGAAGUUAAGCAAUGUCAAACUAGUUCAUUACCUAGAUGGGUGAUUACUUGGGAAUACCAGGUGCUGUAAG
Non-coding RNA from Acanthosepion pharaonis, 112 nucleotides. The record is from the annotation of a GenBank genome assembly. Lineage: Eukaryota; Metazoa; Mollusca; Cephalopoda; Sepiida; Sepiidae.